This 331-nucleotide ribosomal RNA is filed under the name uncultured eukaryote. RNAcentral describes it as "partial 18S ribosomal RNA". It matches the Rfam family "Eukaryotic small subunit ribosomal RNA", at positions 1470 to 1796 of the family's 1831-position model. The record is from RNAcentral.
CCCUUAGAUGUUCUGGGCCGCACGCGCGCUACACUGUUCGACGCAGCGAGUCUUAACCUUGACCGAAAGGUUUGGGUAAUCUUCAGCAAAGUCGAACGUGAUGGGGAUCGAUCAUUGCAAUUAUUGAUCGUGAACGAGGAAUUCCUAGUAAGUGCAAGUCAUCAGCUUGCGCUGAUUACGUCCCUGCCCUUUGUACACACCGCCCGUCGCUACUACCGAUUGAAUGGUUUAGUGAGAUCUCUGGAUUGACGCUGGCUAGGGGGCGACCCUUGGCCAGACUGUUGAGAAACUGCUCAAACUUUAUCAUUUAGAGGAAGUAAAAGUCGUAACA